AUGCACCACGCGUACAUUCCGCUUCCUCCGCGCCCACCUGACAACUGCUCGCUACGUUUUGUUAGCC
Molecule: small RNA, 67 nt
Filed under: Xanthomonas fragariae
Lineage: Bacteria; Pseudomonadati; Pseudomonadota; Gammaproteobacteria; Lysobacterales; Lysobacteraceae
Description: sX9 sRNA
Rfam family: Xanthomonas sRNA sX9
Source: RNAcentral